CUAACAAGGAUUCCCUUAGUAACUGCGAGUGAAGAGGGAAAAGCUCAAAUUUAAAAUCUGGCAGUGUUUUGCUGUCCGAGUUGUAACCUAGAGAAGUGUAACCUGUGCUGGACCGUGUAUAAGUCUCCUGGAAUGGAGCAUCAUAGAGGGUGAGAAUCCCGUCUUUGACAUGGACUACCAGUGCAUUGUGGUUGCGCACUCAACGAGUCGAGUUGUUUGGGAAUGCAGCUCUAAAUGGGUGGUAAAUUCCAUCUAAAGCUAAAUAUUGGCGAGAGACCGAUAGCGAACAAGUACCGUGAGGGAAAGAUGAAAAGAACUUUGGAAAGAGAGUUAAACAGUAUGUGAAAUUGUUGAAAGGGAAACGUUUGAAGUCAGUCGCGUUGGUUGGGGAUCAGCCUGACAUUGUUGGGUGUACUUCCUGGUUGACGGGCCAACAUCAGUUUUGACUGCCAGAAAAAGGCCAAAGGAAUGUGGCACCUUUGGGUGUGUUAUAGCCAUUGGUCGUAUAUGGUGGUUGGGACUGAGGAAAGCAGCGUGCCGAAAGGCCGGGUUUCGACCACGUUCACGCUGAGGAUGUUGGCAUAAUGGCUUUAAGCGACCCGUCUUGAAACACGGACCAAGGAGUCUAACAUGCGUGCGAGUGUUUGGGUGGAAAACCCUUACGCGUAAUGAAAGUGAAAGUUGAGAUCCCUGUCGCGGGGAGCAUCGACGCCCGGACCAGAACUUUUGGGACGGAUCUGCGGUAGAGCAUGUAUGUUGGGACCCGAAAGAUGGUGAACUAUGCCUGAAUAGGGUGAAGCCAGAGGAAACUCUGGUGGAGGCUCGUAGCGA
RNAcentral lists this ribosomal RNA (831 nucleotides) under unidentified. RNAcentral's name for it is "Amanita sp. 36 RET-2022a partial large subunit ribosomal RNA". It matches the Rfam family "Eukaryotic large subunit ribosomal RNA", at positions 65 to 883 of the family's 3401-position model. The record is from RNAcentral.